GACAGAGGUCCCAAGCGUUGUUCGGAUUCACUGGGCGUAAAGGGUGCGCAGGCGGUUCUGCAAGUCCGGCGUGAAAUCCCCGGGCUUAACCUGGGAAUGGCGCUUGAAACUACGGGACUGGAGUAUGGCAGAGGGAGGUGGAAUUCCACGUGUAGCGGUGAAAUGCGUAGAGAUGUGGAGGAACACCGAUGGCGAAGGCAGCCUCCUGGGCCAAUACUGACGCUCAUGCACGAAAGCGUGGGGAGCAAACAGG
RNAcentral lists this ribosomal RNA (253 nucleotides) under uncultured bacterium. RNAcentral's name for it is "partial 16S ribosomal RNA". It matches the Rfam family "Bacterial small subunit ribosomal RNA", at positions 524 to 776 of the family's 1533-position model. The record is from RNAcentral.